Molecule: transfer RNA, 74 nt
Filed under: Komagataella phaffii CBS 7435
Lineage: Eukaryota; Fungi; Ascomycota; Pichiomycetes; Pichiales; Pichiaceae
Description: partial tRNA-Lys
Source: RNAcentral
AUAUUUAAAAUAUAAUUAUUUAAAUAGUAAUAUUUUUAUAAUAUUUAAAUAAUAAUUUAAACUUAUUAAAUAAG